AACGCGAAGAACCUUACCAGGCCUUGACAUCCCGAUCGCGGCCCCUUGAAAGAGGGGCCUUCAGUUAGGCUGGAUCGGUGACAGGUGCUGCAUGGCUGUCGUCAGCUCGUGUCGUGAGAUGUUGGGUUAAGUCCCGCAACGAGCGCAACCCUCGCCCUUAGUUGCCAUCAUUAAGUUGGGCACUCUAAGGGGACUGCCGGUGAUAAGCCGCGAGGAAGGUGGGGAUGACGUCAAGUCCUCAUGGCCCUUACGGCCUGGGCCACACACGUGCUACAAUGGCGGUGACAAUGGGCAGCAAAGGCGCAAGCCCCAGCUAAUCUCAAAAAGCCGUCUCAGUUCGGAUUGGAGUCUGCAACUCGACUCCAUGAAGUCGGAAUCGCUAGUAAUCGUGGAUCAGCACGCCACGGUGAAUACGUUCCCGGGCCUUGUA
RNAcentral lists this ribosomal RNA (430 nucleotides) under uncultured Alphaproteobacteria bacterium. RNAcentral describes it as "bacterial SSU rRNA". It matches the Rfam family "Bacterial small subunit ribosomal RNA", at positions 958 to 1385 of the family's 1533-position model. The record is from RNAcentral. Lineage: Bacteria; Pseudomonadati; Pseudomonadota; Alphaproteobacteria.